AAAUUGAAGAGUUUGAUCAUGGCUCAGAUUGAACGCUGGCGGCAGGCCUAACACAUGCAAGUCGAACGGUAACAGGAAGCAGCUUGCUGCUUCGCUGACGAGUGGCGGACGGGUGAGUAAUGUCUGGGAAACUGCCUGAUGGAGGGGGAUAACUACUGGAAACGGUAGCUAAUACCGCAUAACGUCGCAAGACCAAAGAGGGGGACCUUCGGGCCUCUUGCCAUCGGAUGUGCCCAGAUGGGAUUAGCUUGUUGGUGGGGUAACGGCUCACCAAGGCGACGAUCCCUAGCUGGUCUGAGAGGAUGACCAGCCACACUGGAACUGAGACACGGUCCAGACUCCUACGGGAGGCAGCAGUGGGGAAUAUUGCACAAUGGGCGCAAGCCUGAUGCAGCCAUGCCGCGUGUAUGAAGAAGGCCUUCGGGUUGUAAAGUACUUUCAGCGGGGAGGAAGGGAGUAAAGUUAAUACCUUC
Molecule: ribosomal RNA, 473 nt
Filed under: Escherichia coli
Lineage: Bacteria; Pseudomonadati; Pseudomonadota; Gammaproteobacteria; Enterobacterales; Enterobacteriaceae
Description: bacterial SSU rRNA
Rfam family: Bacterial small subunit ribosomal RNA
Source: RNAcentral